CUAAAAACUUGGACUUUCAUGAUCAAUUCCUAGUAGCUUCACUGUAUUGUUUUUCAAUAUAUAUUCUCCCUUCCAUUAAUCCAAAUCUCAAUCCCAUUUCAGCGUUAGUUCAAUCAUAAACAUAUCUCGUUUCAACUUAAUAAUCAUUAUUGUCGUACUAAGUCGCCAAACAUGUCUUGUCUAUCCGCUGUUUUGAUGUUUAUGUUGUGCGGCGUCGCCAUUAUUCAUGUCUGUCAUGCUCGGAUGUUUCUGGAUGAUCCAAUCGAGAAAGUUGGAGUGAGCAGAGAGGAUUAUUUGAAGAUCCAUCGUCGCCGUCAACCGGCCGUUUCAUGGCCGCACGUUCUUCCUCCUAAGAAACACAACAACAAAGGAAGAAGAGGAAUCAUUGAGUUUGAGCCUUCUUCUG
Ipomoea nil (Japanese morning glory) is the source of this 406-nucleotide long non-coding RNA. RefSeq lists it as uncharacterized. The transcript is spliced from 3 exons. Lineage: Eukaryota; Viridiplantae; Streptophyta; Magnoliopsida; Solanales; Convolvulaceae. The record is from RefSeq and is a predicted model, not a curated record.